RNAcentral lists this non-coding RNA (137 nucleotides) under Mesocricetus auratus (golden hamster). Its description in RNAcentral is "Eukaryotic large subunit ribosomal RNA". It matches the Rfam family "Eukaryotic large subunit ribosomal RNA", at positions 816 to 953 of the family's 3401-position model. Lineage: Eukaryota; Metazoa; Chordata; Mammalia; Rodentia; Cricetidae. The record is from Rfam by way of RNAcentral.
CCAAAAGAUGGUGAACUAUGCCUGGGCAGGGCGAAGCCAGAGGAAACUCUAGUGGAGGUCCAUAGCGGUCCUGACAUACAAAUCGGUCUUCUGACCUGGUAUAGGGGCAAAGGACUAAUCCAACCAUCUAGUAGAUG